Small nucleolar RNA from Pleuronectes platessa (European plaice), 80 nucleotides. RefSeq annotates it as small nucleolar RNA SNORD34. Lineage: Eukaryota; Metazoa; Chordata; Actinopteri; Pleuronectiformes; Pleuronectidae. The transcript has a single exon. The record is from RefSeq and is a predicted model, not a curated record.
GCUGUCUGUGAUGUCAAUCUAAAUACCUUACCUACCUUGUUUGAGUUACCUCUGAAAAUAAACAAAUAUCUGAGACAUGC